Molecule: ribosomal RNA, 458 nt
Filed under: uncultured bacterium
Lineage: Bacteria
Description: bacterial SSU rRNA
Rfam family: Bacterial small subunit ribosomal RNA
Source: RNAcentral
UACGGAAGGCAGCAGUGGGGAAUAUUGCACAAUGGGCGAAAGCCUGAUGCAGCUAUGCCGCGUGUAUGAAGAAGGCCUUAGGGUUGUAAAGUACUUUCAUCGGGGAGGAAAAAACAAAACUAAUAAUUUUAUUUCUUGACGUUACCCGAAAAAGAAGCACCGGCUAACUCCGUGCCAGCAGCCGCGGUAAUACGGAGGGUGCUAGCGUUAAUCAGAAUUACUGGGCGUAAAGAGCACGUAGGUGGUUUUUUAAGUCAGAUGUGAAAUCCCUGGGCUUAACCUAGGAAACUGCAUUUUGAAACUGAAAUACUAGAAGUAUCGUAGAGGGAGGUAGAAUUCUAGGUGUAGCGGUGAAAUGCGUAGAUAUCUGGAGGAAUACCUGUGGCGAAAGCGGCCUCCUAAACGAAUACUGACACUGAGGUGCGAAAGCGUGGGGAGCAAAACAGGGAUUAGAUACC